Molecule: transfer RNA, 68 nt
Filed under: Labritermes buttelreepeni
Lineage: Eukaryota; Metazoa; Arthropoda; Insecta; Blattodea; Termitidae
Description: tRNA-Leu
Source: RNAcentral
UCUAACGUGGCAGAUAAGUGCAUUGGAUUUAAGCUCCAAAAACAAAGUGCUAUAAACUUUCAUUAGAA